UGAAUGGAAUCAGUUUAGCCCAGAAUGGAAUGGGCCAUUCCAUUCCAAAAAUAAAAAUUUCUGUUUGGUUGGCCCAAAGAAUGGAAUAACCCAUUCUUUUAUUCAUUCCAAUCCAUCGACUAAUCAGACAAUCGAUUCAUUUCUGAAAGCGCGGGUUAAGCCCAUUCCAUUCACGCAGCUCUCCACCUCUAUCACGCAGCUCUCCCUCGCCUCUCUCACGCAGCUCUCCCUCGCCUCUCUCUCCGCCUCUCGCCUCUCUUUCUCGCAUCUCUCUCUCAUCUCUCUCUUCCUCACAUCUCUCUCUUCCUUUUCUGCCUCUCCCCCUCUCUUCAGCUAAUCCUUUAUCUGGAAAGCAGCUAGAAUCUUCAAACCACGCAUCUCAACGAUUCCUUUUAUCAUUUGCAAUGAUUUUCAAACCUAAAUUAAUCUAAGCAUACAGGUACCUUUAUUUCGAUGGAAAAAACACAUCCCUUGCUGCUAUUAGUAUUGUCAUUGUGAGAGGAAUCACCAUUCAAGUCACUAUCUUCUAUCAUAUCCAGAUAGAGAGAUAACUAGACCUGCAUCCACCACUGGAAGAUGAUGUCUGUUUAACUCUACAUUAUGGAAUAAUGCCUGCACGUGUUGCGGUUCUCCAGUGUUCUCAUAUUCACUUCCCAAAUUUUGUAUUUUAUUUGUAAGUUAUGAAGGAGAAUUGAUAGUGGCCAAAGUUUGGAUUUUAUUUGUAAAUUUGUAAUAUUUAUUAUAGUUGAUUUUAUGCUAAUAAUUUGUGUAAUGAAAUGGGAAGUAUGCUAUUGAUAUAAAAUUAAUUAAUUUGUGUA
Long non-coding RNA from Daucus carota subsp. sativus, 818 nucleotides. RefSeq lists it as uncharacterized. NCBI's taxonomy places the organism in Eukaryota, Viridiplantae, Streptophyta, Magnoliopsida, Apiales, Apiaceae. The transcript has 3 exons. The record is from RefSeq and is a predicted model, not a curated record.